RNAcentral lists this non-coding RNA (98 nucleotides) under human gut metagenome. RNAcentral's name for it is "SAM riboswitch (S box leader)". It matches the Rfam family "SAM riboswitch aptamer (S box leader)". From Rfam's summary of the family: The SAM riboswitch is found upstream of a number of genes which code for proteins involved in methionine or cysteine biosynthesis in Gram-positive bacteria. The SAM riboswitch acts at the level of transcription termination control. The record is from RNAcentral.
GCUUAUCAAGAGUGGCGGAGGGACUAGGCCCAAUGAUGCCCGGCAACCGGUCUAUAUGACAUCGGUGCUAAUUCCUACGGUUUAUUCCGAAAGAUGAG